GUGGGGAAUCUUGCACAAUGGGGGCAACCCUGAUGCAGCGACGCCGCGUGAGCGAUGAAGCCCUUCGGGGCGUAAAGCUCUUUAGACCGGAACGAUAAUGACGGUACCGGGAGAAGAAGCUGCGGCUAACUACGUGCCAGCAGCCGCGGUAAUACGUAGGCAGCAAGCGUUGUUCGGAGUUACUGGGCGUAAAGAGUGCGUAGGCGGUUUUCUAAGCUCGGUGUGAAAUCUCCCGGCUUAACUGGGAGGGUGCGCCGAAGACUGGGAAGCUGGAGUGUGGGAAAGGCAGGCGGAAUUCCUGGUGUAGCGGUGAAAUGCGUAGAUAUCAGGAGGAACACCGGCGGUGUAGACGGCUUGCUAGACCAUAACUGACGCUGAGGCACGAAAGCGUGGGUAGCAAACA
RNAcentral lists this ribosomal RNA (403 nucleotides) under uncultured bacterium. RNAcentral's name for it is "bacterial SSU rRNA". It matches the Rfam family "Bacterial small subunit ribosomal RNA", at positions 354 to 774 of the family's 1533-position model. The record is from RNAcentral.